RNAcentral lists this ribosomal RNA (617 nucleotides) under uncultured fungus. Its description in RNAcentral is "eukaryotic LSU rRNA". It matches the Rfam family "Eukaryotic large subunit ribosomal RNA", at positions 24 to 664 of the family's 3401-position model. Lineage: Eukaryota; Fungi. The record is from RNAcentral.
CCCGCUGAACUUAAGCAUAUCAAUAAGCGGAGGAAAAGAAACUAACAAGGAUUCCCCUAGUAACUGCGAGUGAAGCGGGAAGAGCUCAAAUUUAAAAUCUGGCGGCCUUGGCCGUCCGAGUUGUAAUUUAGAGAAGCGUUUUCCGCGCCGGACCGUGUACAAGUCUCCUGGAACGGAGCGUCACAGAGGGUGAGAAUCCCGUCUCUGACACGGACGCCCGGUGCUAUGUGAUACGCUCUCGAAGAGUCGAGUUGUUUGGGAAUGCAGCUCAAAAUGGGUGGUGAACUCCAUCUAAAGCUAAAUAUUGGCGAGAGACCGAUAGCGAACAAGUACCGUGAGGGAAAGAUGAAAAGCACUUUGGAAAGAGAGUGAAACAGUACGUGAAAUUGCUGAAAGGGAAACGCUUGAAGUCAGUCGCGUCGGCCGGAAUUCAGCCCCAGUGGUGUACUUUCCGGCGGACGGGCCAGCAUCAUUUUCGAGCGUCGGAAAAGGGCGGGAGGAAUGUGGCACCCUCGGGUGUGUUAUAGCCUUCCGUCGUAUACGACGUUGGAGAGUGAGGACCGCCUAUUUGUAGGAUGCUGGCAUAAUGGCUUUAAACGACCCGUCUUGAAACACGG